CACGUAGGGCGCAAGCGUUGUCCGGAAUUAUUGGGCGUAAAGAGCUCGUAGGCGGUCUGUUGCGUCCGCUGUGAAAACUCGGGGCUUAACCCCGAGCCUGCAGUGGAUACGGGCAGACUAGAGGUAGGUAGGGGAGAAUGGAAUUCCCGGUGUAGCGGUGAAAUGCGCAGAUAUCAGGAGGAACACCGAUGGCGAAGGCAGGUCUCUGGGCUGAAACUGACGCUCAUGCACGAAAGCGUGGGGAGCAAACAGG
Molecule: ribosomal RNA, 253 nt
Filed under: uncultured bacterium
Lineage: Bacteria
Description: partial 16S ribosomal RNA
Rfam family: Bacterial small subunit ribosomal RNA
Source: RNAcentral